Molecule: ribosomal RNA, 259 nt
Filed under: uncultured bacterium
Lineage: Bacteria
Description: partial 16S ribosomal RNA
Rfam family: Bacterial small subunit ribosomal RNA
Source: RNAcentral
GGCGGACGGGUGAGUAACGCGUGGGUAACCUGCCUCAUACAGGGGGAGUAACAGUUAGAAAUGGCUGCUAAUACCGCAUAAGACCACGGUACUGCAUGGUACAGUGGUAAAAACUCCGGUGGUAUGAGAUGGACCCGCGUCUGAUUAGGUAGUUGGUGAGGUAACGGCCCACCAAGCCGACGAUCAGUAGCCGACCUGAGAGGGUGACCGGCCACAUUGGGACUGAGACACGGCCCAGACUCCUACGGGAGGCAGCAUG